This 890-nucleotide long non-coding RNA is filed under the name Salmo salar (Atlantic salmon). RNAcentral's name for it is "lncRNA (ENSSSAG00000102433.1)". The record is from RNAcentral. Lineage: Eukaryota; Metazoa; Chordata; Actinopteri; Salmoniformes; Salmonidae.
AGGCAUGCAAGAGGCAACGUGUGUGUGUGUGUGGAGUUAACACGCAGCACUGCGAACAGCCAGAGUGUUCCCGUAGCUUUCGUCUCCAAAAGGGUUCAUAUAUAAACAAGAGUACUGUGUGAUUUAAACCAACAGGAUUUUAACUGUUAAAUACAGUGUGGGACUCUGGGACUAGGACACAGCUUGAACAGAUCACCAGUCAGCCUGAUCUCACACCUUAUUAACUGUGUGUGUUCACUUCAGCAUCACGCUGCAACACCAGCGAGAUACACACAUUCUUCUACCAGCCAAGUACUGUCUUAUCGCUGAUAAAAGAUAGAGAGCAGUGUGUGUGUUCCUACUCUGCCCUCUGUGUGUGUGUGUGUUCCUACUCUGCCCUCUGUGAGUGUGUGUGUGUUCCUACUCUGCCCUCUGUGUGUGUGUGUGUGUUCCUACUCUGCCCUCUGUGUGUGUGUGUGUGUUCCUACUCUGCCCUCUGUGUGUGUGUGUGUUCCUACUCUGCCCUCUGUGUGUGUGUGUGUGUGUUCCUACUCUGCCCUCUGUGUGUGUGUGUGUGUUCCUACUCUGCCCUCUGUGUGUGUGUGUGUGUUCCUACUCUGCCCUCUGUGUGUGUGUGUGUGUUCCUACUCUGCCCUCUUGCAAUCAGGAAGUAGGAGAUUGUGUUUUGAGGAAGUGAACCAUGAAAGGAAAAUAGGUGUGUGUGUGUGUGUGUGGGAUCUUCAACAAGCUUCUCACUGCAGAAUUAGGAUUUUUAACAAUUUUUCUUCAAAAGUCAAAUUACGAAGUUGCUCCAAUCUUCAAAUUUCAAAGUGUUAUUUUUUUUCUUUUUUGACAGUCUCCUCCUUUUCAGUAUCGUUCCGUUUCCCCAAACGUUUAAAGACCCCCCCAAU